Vicia faba (fava bean) is the source of this 246-nucleotide non-coding RNA. NCBI's taxonomy places the organism in Eukaryota, Viridiplantae, Streptophyta, Magnoliopsida, Fabales, Fabaceae. The record is from the annotation of a GenBank genome assembly.
UCAGAUUCCGGUUUUCAUUUUCCCACCUCCGCCGCCGAGGAAGAAGCCGGUUACAGGAAUCAGACGGCCGCCGCCGAAGGAGGGAUGGACAAUAGCUGUGAUCUGUUUAUUUGGGAUGAUGAAAUUGCCCACUCCAUUAGUGAAUCUUAAAUUCUGAAAGUUAUUGCAAUUAUUGUGAUGUGGCAAUAGUGAAGUUUGUACCGGCAGAAAGAAAAUUGGAAAAAUCCAAGUUGAAGAUAGUUGCAU